Molecule: ribosomal RNA, 547 nt
Filed under: uncultured bacterium
Lineage: Bacteria
Description: bacterial SSU rRNA
Rfam family: Bacterial small subunit ribosomal RNA
Source: RNAcentral
GUUUGAUUCUGGCUCAGAACGAACGCUGGCGGCAGGCUUAACACAUGCAAGUCGAACGCCCCGCAAGGGGAGUGGCAGACGGGUGAGUAACACGUGGGAACAUGCCCAAAGGUACGGAAUAUUCUCGGGAAACUGGGAGCAAUACCGUAUGUGCCCGAAAGGGGAAAGAUUUAUCGCCUUUGGAUUGGCCCGCGUCAGAUUAGGUAGUUGGUGGGGUAAUGGCCUACCAAGCCGACGAUCUGUAGCUGGUCUGAGAGGACGACCAGCCACACUGGGACUGAGACACGGCCCAGACUCCUACGGGAGGCAGCAGUGGGGAAUCUUGGACAAUGGGCGCAAGCCUGAUCCAGCCAUGCCGCGUGGAUGAUGAAGGCCCUAGGGUUGUAAAAUCCUUUCGUUGGGGACGAUAAUGACGGUACCCAAAGAAGAAGCUCCGGCUAACUUCGUGCCAGCAGCCGCGGUAAUACGAAGGGGGCUAGCGUUGUUCGGAUUUACUGGGCGUAAAGCGCGUGUAGGCGGGCUGGAAAGUUGGGGGUGAAUCCCGAGG